RNAcentral lists this ribosomal RNA (1027 nucleotides) under Helianthus niveus. RNAcentral describes it as "bacterial LSU rRNA". It matches the Rfam family "Bacterial large subunit ribosomal RNA", at positions 1559 to 2594 of the family's 2925-position model. The record is from RNAcentral. Lineage: Eukaryota; Viridiplantae; Streptophyta; Magnoliopsida; Asterales; Asteraceae.
AGAGGUGAUGCGUAGCCGAUUGAGGCGAAGUAGGGUGAUCCCAUGCUGCCGAGAAAAGCCUCUAGCGAGUUCUUGUGUGGCCCGUACCCUAAACCGACACAGGUGGUCAGGUAGAGAAUACCGAGGCGAUCGAGUGCACUCUGGUUAAGGAACUCGGCAAAAUACCCCCGUAACUUCGGGAGAAGGGGGGCCGGAGGCUCUGAAGCUCCUUGCGGGCCAGGGGCAGCCGGUCGCAGAGACCAGGCCCAAGCGACUGUUUACUAAAAACACAGGUCCGUGCGAAGUCGUAAGACGAUGUAUACGGACUGACGCCUGCCCGGUGCUGGAAGGUUAAGAGGACCGGUUAGCCGCAAGGCGAAGCUGAGAAUUUAAGCCCCAGUAAACGGCGGUGGUAACUAUAACGGUCCUAAGGUAGCGAAAUUCCUUGUCGGGUAAGUUCCGACCUGCACGAAUGGAGUAACGACUUCCCCGCUGUCUCAACCAUAAACUCGGCGAAAUUGCAGUACGAGUAAAGAUGCUCGUUACGCGCAGCAGGACGGAAAGACCCCGAGACCUUUACUAUAGUUUGGUAUUGGUGUUCGGUACAGCUUGUGUAGGAUAGGUGGGAGACUUUGAAGCGUUCACGCUAGUGGGUGUGGAGUCGUCGUUGAAAUACCACUCUGGUUGUUCUGGAUAUCUAACUUUGGGCCAUGAUCUGGUUCAGGGACAGUGCCUGAUGGGUAGUUUGACAGUAACGGAGGCGCCCAAAGGUUCCCUCAGCCUGGUUGGCAAUCAGGUGUUGAGUGUAAGUGCACAAGGGAGCUUGACUGUGAGACUGACAUGUCGAGCAGGGACGAAAGUCGGGACUAGUGAUCUGACGGUGGCGUGUGGAAGCGCCGUCACUCAACGGAUAAAAGGUACCCCGGGGAUAACAGGCUGAUCUUGCCCGAGCGUCCAUAGCGACGGCAUGGUUUGGCACUCGAUGUCGGCUCAUCGCAUCCUGGGGCUGUAGUCGGUCCCAAGGGUUGGGCUGUUCGCCCAUUAAAGC